Molecule: ribosomal RNA, 539 nt
Filed under: Lactiplantibacillus plantarum
Lineage: Bacteria; Bacillati; Bacillota; Bacilli; Lactobacillales; Lactobacillaceae
Description: bacterial SSU rRNA
Rfam family: Bacterial small subunit ribosomal RNA
Source: RNAcentral
GAUUGGUGCUUGCAUCAUGAUUUACAUUUGAGUGAGUGGCGAACUGGUGAGUAACACGUGGGAAACCUGCCCAGAAGCGGGGGAUAACACCUGGAAACAGAUGCUAAUACCGCAUAACAACUUGGACCGCAUGGUCCGAGUUUGAAAGAUGGCUUCGGCUAUCACUUUUGGAUGGUCCCGCGGCGUAUUAGCUAGAUGGUGGGGUAACGGCUCACCAUGGCAAUGAUACGUAGCCGACCUGAGAGGGUAAUCGGCCACAUUGGGACUGAGACACGGCCCAAACUCCUACGGGAGGCAGCAGUAGGGAAUCUUCCACAAUGGACGAAAGUCUGAUGGAGCAACGCCGCGUGAGUGAAGAAGGGUUUCGGCUCGUAAAACUCUGUUGUUAAAGAAGAACAUAUCUGAGAGUAACUGUUCAGGUAUUGACGGUAUUUAACCAGAAAGCCACGGCUAACUACGUGCCAGCAGCCGCGGUAAUACGUAGGUGGCAAGCGUUGUCCGGAUUUAUUGGGCGUAAAGCGAGCGCAGGCGGUUUUUUA